RNAcentral lists this ribosomal RNA (468 nucleotides) under uncultured bacterium. RNAcentral describes it as "partial 16S ribosomal RNA". It matches the Rfam family "Bacterial small subunit ribosomal RNA", at positions 28 to 507 of the family's 1533-position model. The record is from RNAcentral.
GACGAACGCUGGCGGCGUGCUUAACACAUGCAAGUCGAACGGAAAGGCCCUGCUUUUGUGGGGUGCUCGAGUGGCGAACGGGUGAGCAACACGUGAGUAACCUGCCCUUGACUUUGGGAUAACUUCAGGAAACUGGGGCUAAUACCGGAUAGGAGCUCCUGCUGCAUGGUGGGGGUUGGAAAGUUUCGGCGGUUGGGGAUGGACUCGCGGCUUAUCAGCUUGUUGGUGGGGUAGUGGCUUACCAAGGCUUUGACGGGUAGCCGGCCUGAGAGGGUGACCGGCCACAUUGGGACUGAGAUACGGCCCAGACUCCUACGGGAGGCAGCAGUGGGGAAUAUUGCACAUUGGGCGGAAGCCUGAUGCAGCAACGCCGCGUGCGGGAUGACGGCCUUCGGGUUGUAAACCGCUUUCGCCUGUGACGAAGCGUGAGUGACGGUAAUGGGUAAAGAAGCACCGGCUAACUACGUG